GGAGGAAAAGAAACUAACAAGGAUUCCCCUAGUAGCGGCGAGCGAAGCGGGAAGAGCCCGGGAUGAAAAUCUCUUCGGAGAAUUGUAUUCUGAGCAUCUUUGGGUGGUCAGUGUGGGUAAGUCAUCUGAAAAGAUGUGCCGUGGAGGGUGAAAGCCCCGUCCAGCCUGCACAGGAUCCAUCCGUACAAAGAUGUUUCAACCGAGUCGGGUAGAUUGGGAAUUCUGCUCUAAGAUUGGUGGUAAAUCUCAUCAAAGGCUAAAUACUUGUGGGAGACCGAUAGCAAACAAGUACCGUGAGGGAAAGUUUAAAAGAACUUUGAAAAGAGAGUGAAAAGCGCUUGAAACCGUCACGAGGGAAGCGUAUUGCACGAGUGAUAGUGUUUGUUGUUCAGCUUGUCUUAAUUUAUUUUAAGGCUUGUGUAUUCAAUGUUCACUGCGUAAGCAUGGCUGGUUGGAGUGUGAUUUUCACACUUGUAGCUGGUGAGGGCUCCCUGUUUAUCGGGUGAGGAUGUUUGCGACAUGUUGCGGUACGACCCGUCUUGAAACACGGACCAAGGAGUCUAGCAUGUCUGCGAGUCGAAGGAUUUUUUUUACAAGUCCAUGGGCGGAGUGAAAGCGAAAGUUUAAUUAAAACAAUUUGUGGAGGCGUUGCGUUUUUAACAAAAUGUCCUACCUUGAGCACAUAUGCUAGGACCCGAAAGAUGGUGAACUAUGCUGGAGUAGGGCAAAGCCAGAGGAAACUCUGGUGGAGGCUCGUAGCGAUGCUGACGUGCAAAUCGCUCGUCGAACUUGAGUAUAGGGGCGAAAGACUAAUCGAACCAUCUAGUAGCUGGUUCCCUCCGAAGUUUCUCUCAGGAGAGCGGGCCGUCAAUUUUUUUUUAUGUUUGUUGUUUUGUGUGGUAAAGCGAAUGAUUAGUGCAUCUCGGGGCCGAAGGCCUCGAGGUAAUUCUCAAACAUUUAAAUGCGCAAGGGUGUGGCUGCUUUUUUAAUUUUUUAAAUUUGAGCCCUACACUUUUAAAAACGACGGCCCUGUGGGCCACUUUUGGUAAGCAGAACUGGCGAUAAGGGAUGAACCCUAAGCGUGGUUAAGGCGCCCUAAUUCUCCGCUUCUAGACCCCACAAAAGGUGUUGAUUCAUAUAGACAGCAGGACGGUGGCCAUGGAAGUCGGAACCGCUAAGGAGUGUGUAACAACUCACCUGCCGAAUGAUUAGCCCUGAAAAUGGAUGGCGCUCAAGCGGAGAGCCGACACCACGCCGUUUGGGCGAGGUAAUUUUUGUCUGAAUGAGUAGGAGGGCGUAUCGGUCAGUGUAGAAGGCGUUGGUGCAAACCUCGCUGGAGCGGCCGUUAGUGCAGAUCUUGGUGGUAGUAGCAAAUAUUCAAGCGAGAUCCUUGAAGGGUGAAGUGGGGAAGGGUUCCACGCGAACAUUGUUUGGGCGUGGAGUGAGUCGUUCCUAAGUCGAGUGGCAAUUGCUAAGUAUCGGCGAAAGGGAAGCAGGUUAAAAUUCCUGCGCACGGAUGUAGACUAGCGGCGACGCGAUCAGCGGUGGAGAUGUUGGCGAGCUCACUGGGCAGAGUUUUCUUUUCUGUUUGACCUGCAUUGUGCUGUGUGGAAUCCGAUUAUCGGGAGAAACACGCACGGCGACGGGCAGAGCGUCGGAAUUUUUUCGGCGUCCGGUUCGAGCACGACGACCCUUGAAAAUCCACCUGCGAUAAUAAAUCUACGCUGUGACGUACCGAUAACCGCAUCAGGUCCCCAAGGUGAACAGCCUCUAUCCAAUAUGAACAAUGCAGGUAAGGGAAGUCGGCAAAAUAGAUCCGUAACUUUGGGAAAAGGGUUGGCUCUAGUGGGGUGGAGGUUUUUUUGUUUCUUCGGAUCGAAAAGGGAGCGUUUCUGUGCUUGAGACUGGGCGAUUACUUGAGGCUUAUUUGGUAUUAUUUGGGCUGAAUGGAGGAGCGGGUUUUUGGGUCGUGUGUUGCAUGGUUUGCUUUCGGGUCGAUUGUGUGCAUGUUUCUUGAUUUCCUUCUUUUUUGUUCUUUGUCUCAUUUUUUAUUUGCUAGGCAGUGGGUUUUUGCUCGGUUUUUUGUGCGGGGAUUGCAUUCCCGCCUUCGGUAUACCUCAAACUAGAACUGCAACGGACAAAGGGAAUCCGACUGUUUAAUUAAAACAAAGCAUUGCGAAGGCCGUGGCCGGUGUUUACGCAAUGUGAUUUCUGCUCAGUGCUCUGAAUGUCAAAGUGAAGAGAUUCAAAUAAGCGCGGGUAAACAGCGGGAGUAACUAUGACUCUCUUAAGGUAGCCAAAUGCCUCGUCAUCUAAUUAGUGACGCGCAUGAAUGGAUUAACGAGAUUCCUACUGUCCCUAUCUGCUUCUAGCGAAACCACAGCCGAGGGAACGGGCUCGGCGAAAUCGGCGGGGAAAGAAGACCCUGUUGAGCUUGACUCUAUUCUAAUUUUGUGAAGCAAGUUAGGAGGUGUAGUAAUAGGUGGGAGCCUCACGGCGUCCGUGAAAGACCACUACUCUUAAUCUUGCUUUACUUAGGGCGUAAUUCUAUACAUCCGUAAGGUUUGUUUUUUUGAUUCAAGUGUGGGCAAGCAAUUUAUUGUUUUGAUUAUUCCGCGCGAAUAGCGCGCCCAACCACAUUUAGGAGGGGAGUUUGGCUGGGGCGGCACAUCUUCUACAAGACAACGAAGGUGUCCAAAGAUAAGCUCAGUGAGAACAGAAAUCUCACGUAGCGCAAAAGGGUAAAAGCUUGUUUUAUUAUGAUUUUCAGUGUGAGUUGUAAACGCGAAAGCGUGGCCUAUCGAUCCUUUUAUUAUUCGAGAUUUGAAGCAAGAGGUGUCAGAAAAGUUACCACAGGGAUAACUGGCUUGUGGCGGCCAAGCGUUCAUAGCGACGUCGCUUUUUGAUCCU
RNAcentral lists this ribosomal RNA (2910 nucleotides) under Ballia callitricha. Its description in RNAcentral is "LSU rRNA". It matches the Rfam family "Eukaryotic large subunit ribosomal RNA", at positions 52 to 2877 of the family's 3401-position model. Lineage: Eukaryota; Rhodophyta; Florideophyceae; Balliales; Balliaceae. The record is from RNAcentral.